GACGAACGCUGGCGGCAUGCCUAAUACAUGCAAGUCGAGCGAACAGAUGAAGUGCUUGCACUUCUGACGUUAGCGGCGAACGGGUGAGUAACACGUAAGGAAUCUACCUAUAAGCGGGGGAUAACAUUCGGAAACGGGUGCUAAUACCGCAUAAUAUCUUCUUCCGCAUGGAAGAAGAUUGAAAGACGGCUCUGCUGUCACUUAUAGAUGACCUUGCGGUGCAUUAGUUAGUUGGUGGGGUAACGGCCUACCAAGACGAUGAUGCAUAGCCGACCAGAGAGGGUGAUCGGCCACAUUGGGACGGAGACACGGCCCAAACUCCUACGGGAGGCAGCAGUAGGGAAUCUUCCGCAAGGGGCGAAAGCCUGACGGAGCAAUGCCGCGUGAGUGAAGAAGGCCUUCGGGUCGUAAAACUCUGUUAUAAGAGAAGAACAAAUUGUAGAGUAACUGCUACAGUCUUGACGGUAUCUUAUCAGAAAGCCACGGCUAACUACGUGCCAGCCGCCGCCGUAA
This 513-nucleotide ribosomal RNA is filed under the name uncultured bacterium. Its description in RNAcentral is "partial 16S ribosomal RNA". It matches the Rfam family "Bacterial small subunit ribosomal RNA", at positions 28 to 523 of the family's 1533-position model. The record is from RNAcentral.